AUCUAUGGCCAUACCACCUGGAACAUGUCUGAUCUCAUCUGAUCUCAGAAGCUAAGCAGGGUCGGGCCUGGUUAGUACUUGGAUGGGAGAGACUCUAUAUCAGUGACUAAAGUGGAAAGUGAUAGAAA
This 128-nucleotide ribosomal RNA is filed under the name Jaculus jaculus (lesser Egyptian jerboa). Lineage: Eukaryota; Metazoa; Chordata; Mammalia; Rodentia; Dipodidae. The record is from RNAcentral.